CAAUAGCGUAUAUUAAAGUUGUUGCAGUUAAAAAGCUCGUAGUUGAAUUUUUGCUUGCCGCUGAUGUCGGAACUUCCGUACGUUCGGCGGCGUGCAUCCUUGGGUGGAACCUGUGUGGCAUUAGGUUGUCGUGCAGGGGAUGCUCAUCGUUUACUGUGAAAAAAUUAGAGUGUUCAAAGCAGGCUUAUGCCGUUGAAUAUAUUAGCAUGGAAUAAUAAGAUAGGACCUUGGUACUAUUUUGUUGGUUUGCGCACCGAGGUAAUGAUUAACAGGGACAGUUGGGGGUAUUCGUAUUCCAUUGUCAGAGGUGAAAUUCUUGGAUUUAUGGAAGAUGAACUUAUGCGAAAGCAUUUACCAAGGAUGUUUUCAUUAA
This 373-nucleotide ribosomal RNA is filed under the name uncultured eukaryote. RNAcentral describes it as "partial 18S ribosomal RNA". It matches the Rfam family "Eukaryotic small subunit ribosomal RNA", at positions 592 to 976 of the family's 1831-position model. The record is from RNAcentral.